GACGAACGCUGGCGGCGUGCCUAAUACAUGCAAGUAGAACGCUGAAGCGAGGAGCUUGCUCUUCUUGGCUGAGUUGCGAACGGGUGAGUAACGCGUAGGUAACCUGCCUUGUAGCGGGGGAUAACUAUUGGAAACGAUAGCUAAUACCGCAUAACACUGGAUGACACAUGUCAUUUAUUUGAAAGGGGCAAUUGCUCCACUACAAGAUGGACCUGCGUUGUAUUAGCUAGUAGGUGAGGUAAUGGCUCACCUAGGCGACGAUACAUAGCCGACCUGAGAGGGGGAUCGGCCGCACUGGGACGGAGACACGGCCCAGACUCCUACGGGAGGCAGCAGUAGGGAAUCUUCGGCAAGGGGGGCAACCCUGACCGAGCAACGCCGCGUGAGUGAAGAAGGGUUUCGGAUCGUAAAGCUCGGUUGUAAGUCAAGAACGGGUGUGAGAGUGGAAAGUUCACACUGUGACGGUAGCUUACCAGAAAGGGACGGCUAACUACGUG
Molecule: ribosomal RNA, 497 nt
Filed under: uncultured bacterium
Lineage: Bacteria
Description: partial 16S ribosomal RNA
Rfam family: Bacterial small subunit ribosomal RNA
Source: RNAcentral